GAUGAACGCUAGCGGCAGGCUUAACACAUGCAAGUCGAGGGGCAGCGCGGGAUAGCAAUAUCCUGGCGGCGACCGGCGGAAGGGUGCGUAACGCGUGAGCGACAUGCCCGUUGCCCGGGGACAACCGGUGGAAACGCCGACUAAUCCCCGAUGGGAUAUUGUGCCGCAUGGCACGAUAUUGAAAGUUACGGCGGCGACGGAUUGGCUCGCGUCCGAUUAGCUUGUUGGCGGGGUAACGACCCACCAAGGCUGCGAUCGGUAGGGGUUCUGAGAGGAAGGCCCCCCACAAUGGGACUGAGACACGGCCCAUACUCCUACGGGAGGCAGCAGUGAGGAAUAUUGGUCAAUGGGCGGAAGCCUGAACCAGCCAUGCCGCGUGCGGGAAGGAGGCCCUAUGGGCUGUGAACCGCUUUUGCCUGGGGGCAAUAAGGGCGUCGCGCACGUCCGAUGAGAGUACCAGGCGAAUAAGCAUCGGCUAACUCCGUG
RNAcentral lists this ribosomal RNA (486 nucleotides) under uncultured bacterium. RNAcentral's name for it is "partial 16S ribosomal RNA". It matches the Rfam family "Bacterial small subunit ribosomal RNA", at positions 28 to 507 of the family's 1533-position model. The record is from RNAcentral.